UGGGGAAUUUUCCGCAAUGGGCGAAAGCCUGACGGAGCAAGACCGCGUGAGGGAGGAAGGCUCUUGGGUUGUAAACCUCUUUUCUCUGGGAAGAAGCUCUGACGGUACCAGAGGAAUAAGCAUCGGCUAACUCCGUGCCAGCAGCCGCGGUAAUACGGAGGAUGCAAGCGUUAUCCGGAAUUAUUGGGCGUAAAGCGUCCGUAGGUGGUUGUUCAAGUCUGCUGUUAAAGCGUGCGGCUUAACCGCAUA
RNAcentral lists this ribosomal RNA (249 nucleotides) under uncultured cyanobacterium. Its description in RNAcentral is "partial 16S ribosomal RNA". It matches the Rfam family "Bacterial small subunit ribosomal RNA", at positions 355 to 619 of the family's 1533-position model. The record is from RNAcentral. Lineage: Bacteria; Bacillati; Cyanobacteriota.